This 253-nucleotide ribosomal RNA is filed under the name uncultured bacterium. RNAcentral describes it as "partial 16S ribosomal RNA". It matches the Rfam family "Bacterial small subunit ribosomal RNA", at positions 524 to 776 of the family's 1533-position model. The record is from RNAcentral.
UACAGAGACUGCAAGCGUUAUUCGGAUUCACUGGGCGUAAAGGGUGCGCAGGCGGCCGAGUGUGUGAGGCGUGAAAGCCCGGGGCUUAACCCCGGAAGUGCGCUGGAAACUAGCCAGCUAGAGCGCGAGAGAGGAGGGUGGAAUUCCUGGUGUAGCGGUGAAAUGCGUAGAUAUCAGGAGGAACACCGGCGGCGAAGGCGGCCCUCUGGCUCGUUGCUGACGCUGAAACGCGAAAGCGUGGGGAGCAAACAGG